GACUCUAUAGCCCAAUUGGUAGAGCACUCAUCUGGGAUGUGAGAAACCCAUGCUGGAGUCU
Molecule: transfer RNA, 61 nt
Filed under: Chelonia mydas (Green sea turtle)
Lineage: Eukaryota; Metazoa; Chordata; Testudines; Cheloniidae
Source: Rfam by way of RNAcentral